GGUAUUAUAGUGAGUGUGAUAAAAUGUGACAGUCAUACUUUAUGAAUAUGAAAAUAUUAUUACAUUUACUUAGAAGUGUAAGCACCAAAAGGCAUAUAAGUGCACUAAUUGAGAGAAGAAAACACACUACCACGAUGAUAAGGUGGGUAGAGGUAUGAACAUCAACGUCAAAUAUAAGCCAUCUUGUUUAGAGAUUUUCUGUUAAGUUCUUAAAAAAAAAUGUCGAUGGAAGAAGAGACAGAGUUGCAGAUUUGUUUGAAACUUCAUGACUUUCUAUGUUGGGUUGUUGACCUAAGUGGCAUUGAUCUUCUUAUGUCAUUUACCAAAGUACUCACUAAUCUCCUCAACGACUUAAU
RNAcentral lists this long non-coding RNA (356 nucleotides) under Hordeum vulgare. RNAcentral describes it as "long non-coding RNA (HVUL_LNC000253)". Lineage: Eukaryota; Viridiplantae; Streptophyta; Magnoliopsida; Poales; Poaceae. The record is from RNAcentral.